CCACAAGGGGUGAAGCCUGCGGUUCAAUUGGAGUCAACGCCAGGAAACUUACCAGGAGAGACAGCAGAUUGAGGGUCAGGCUGAAGACCUUACCUGACGAGCUGAGAGGAGGUGCAUGGCCGUCGCCAGCUCGUGCCGUGAGGCGUCCUGUUAAGUCGGGCAACGAGCGAGACCCCUAUCCGUAAUUGCUAACUGCUCAGAGAUGGGUAGAGGCUAGUUACAGAGACUGCCGCUGCUAAAGCGGAGGAAGGAAGGGGCCACGGCAGGUCAGUAUGCCCCGGAACUCCUGGGCCACACGCGGGCUGCAAUGGUAGGGACAAUAGGUUCCGACCUCGAAAGAGGAAGGCAAUCCCGAAACCCUACCCCAGUUGUGAUCGAGGAUUGAAACCCGUCCUCGUGAAUAUGGAAUCCCUAGUAACCGCGUGUCAUCACCGCGCGGUGAAUACGUCCCUGCUCCUUGC
RNAcentral lists this ribosomal RNA (461 nucleotides) under uncultured archaeon. RNAcentral's name for it is "bacterial SSU rRNA". It matches the Rfam family "Archaeal small subunit ribosomal RNA", at positions 879 to 1340 of the family's 1478-position model. The record is from RNAcentral.